GCCCGUAUAGCUCAGUGGUAGAGCGCGGCACUCGUAAUGCCGAGGUCCAUGGUUCGAUCCCAUGUGCGGGCA
RNAcentral lists this transfer RNA (72 nucleotides) under Ophiostoma novo-ulmi subsp. novo-ulmi H327. RNAcentral's name for it is "tRNA-Thr (CGT) (tRNA-Thr-CGT-1-1)". It matches the Rfam family "tRNA". Rfam says of the family: Transfer RNA (tRNA) molecules are approximately 80 nucleotides in length. Their secondary structure includes four short double-helical elements and three loops (D, anti-codon, and T loops). The record is from RNAcentral. Lineage: Eukaryota; Fungi; Ascomycota; Sordariomycetes; Ophiostomatales; Ophiostomataceae. RNAcentral also lists the same sequence under 1 other name.